RNAcentral lists this ribosomal RNA (394 nucleotides) under uncultured bacterium. RNAcentral describes it as "partial 16S ribosomal RNA". It matches the Rfam family "Bacterial small subunit ribosomal RNA", at positions 523 to 915 of the family's 1533-position model. The record is from RNAcentral.
AUACGUAGGGGGCGAGCGUUGUCCGGAAUGAUUGGGCGUAAAGGGCGCGUAGGCGGCCCGGUAAGUCUGGAGUGAAAGUCCUGUUUUUAAGAUGGGAAUUGCUUUGGAUACUGUCGGGCUUGAGUGCAGGAGAGGUAAGUGGAAUUCCCAGUGUAGCGGUGAAAUGCGUAGAGAUUGGGAGGAACACCAGUGGCGAAGGCGACUUACUGGACUGUAAUUGACGCUGAGGCGCGAAAGUGUGGGGAGCAAACAGGAUUAGAUACCCUGGUAGUCCACACUGUAAACGAUGAAUGCUAGGUGUAGGGGGUAUCGACCCCUUCUGUGCCGCAGUCAACACAAUAAGCAUUCCGCAUGGGGAGUACGGCCGCAAGGUUGAAACUAAAAGGAAUUGACG